Molecule: ribosomal RNA, 692 nt
Filed under: uncultured bacterium
Lineage: Bacteria
Description: bacterial SSU rRNA
Rfam family: Bacterial small subunit ribosomal RNA
Source: RNAcentral
GUAGUCCACGCCGUAAACGAUGAAUACUAGGUGUAGGGGUUGUCAUGACCUCUGUGCCGCCGCUAACGCAUUAAGUAUUCCGCCUGGGGAGUACGGUCGCAAGAUUAAAACUCAAAGGAAUUGACGGGGGCCCGCACAAGCAGCGGAGCAUGUGGUUUAAUUCGAAGCAACGCGAAGAACCUUACCUAGACUUGACAUCUCCUGCAUUACCCUUAACCGGGGAAGUUCCUUCGGGAACAGGAAGACAGGUGGUGCAUGGUUGUCGUCAGCUCGUGUCGUGAGAUGUUGGGUUAAGUCCCGCAACGAGCGCAACCCUUAUUGUUAGUUGCUACCAUUUAGUUGAGCACUCUAGCGAGACUGCCCGGGUUAACCGGGAGGAAGGUGGGGAUGACGUCAAAUCAUCAUGCCCCUUAUGUCUAGGGCUACACACGUGCUACAAUGGCAAGUACAAAGAGAAGCAAUACCGCGAGGUGGAGCAAAACUCAAAAACUUGUCUCAGUUCGGAUUGUAGGCUGAAACUCGCCUACAUGAAGCUGGAGUUGCUNGUAAUCGCGAAUCAGAAUGUCGCGGUGAAUACGGUUUCCCCGGGGCCUUUGUACACACGCCCAGUUCCAGCAUCCAUGGAGAGUUGGCAAUACCCAACGUACGUGAUCUAACCCGCAAGGGAGGAAGCGUCCUAAGGUAGGGUCAGC